CCAAUAGCGUAUAUUAAAGUUGUUGCAGUUAAAAAGCUCGUAGUUGAACUUCGGGGUCUACCCAUUGGUCAGGCUUAAUUGUCUGCACUGGUGAGAUGGAUCUCUACCUUCUGAGGAACUUUCAUGCCAUUUAUUUGGUGUGAUUGGAAAUCAGGACUGUUACUUUGAAAAAAUUAGAGUGUUUAAAGCAGACUAUCGUCUGAAUACAUUAGCAUGGAAUAAUGAAAUAGGACGGACUGAUUCUAUUUCGUUGGUUUCUAGGAUCACCGUAAUGAUUAAUAGGGAUAGUUGGGGGCAUUAGUAUUCAAUUGUCAGAGGUGAAAUUCUUGGAUUUAUUGAAGACUAACUACUGCGAAAGCAUUUGCCAAGGAUGUUUUCAUUAAUCAAGAACGAAAGUUAGGGGAUCGAAGACGAUCAGAUACCGUCGUAGUCUUAACCAUAAACUAUGCCGACUAGGGAUCGGACGAAGUUAAUUUUAUAAUGACGCGUUCGGCACCUUACA
Molecule: unclassified non-coding RNA, 502 nt
Filed under: uncultured Diversispora
Lineage: Eukaryota; Fungi; Glomeromycota; Glomeromycetes; Diversisporales; Diversisporaceae
Description: SSU rRNA
Rfam family: Eukaryotic small subunit ribosomal RNA
Source: RNAcentral